This 677-nucleotide ribosomal RNA is filed under the name Serratia sp. 4ANAIII. RNAcentral describes it as "bacterial SSU rRNA". It matches the Rfam family "Bacterial small subunit ribosomal RNA", at positions 71 to 742 of the family's 1533-position model. The record is from RNAcentral. Lineage: Bacteria; Pseudomonadati; Pseudomonadota; Gammaproteobacteria; Enterobacterales; Yersiniaceae.
ACAGGGAGCUUGCUCCUGGGUGACGAGCGGCGGACGGGUGAGUAAUGUCUGGGAAACUGCCCGAUGGAGGGGGAUAACUACUGGAAACGGUAGCUAAUACCGCAUAACGUCUUCGGACCAAAGUGGGGGACCUUCGGGCCUCACACCAUCGGAUGUGCCCAGAUGGGAUUAGCUAGUAGGUGAGGUAAUGGCUCACCUAGGCGACGAUCCCUAGCUGGUCUGAGAGGAUGACCAGCCACACUGGAACUGAGACACGGUCCAGACUCCUACGGGAGGCAGCAGUGGGGAAUAUUGCACAAUGGGCGCAAGCCUGAUGCAGCCAUGCCGCGUGUGUGAAGAAGGCCUUCGGGUUGUAAAGCACUUUCAGCGAGGAGGAAGGGUUCAGUGUUAAUAGCACUGUUCAUUGACGUUACUCGCAGAAGAAGCACCGGCUAACUCCGUGCCAGCAGCCGCGGUAAUACGGAGGGUGCAAGCGUUAAUCGGAAUUACUGGGCGUAAAGCGCACGCAGGCGGUUUGUUAAGUCAGAUGUGAAAUCCCCGAGCUUAACUUGGGAACUGCAUUUGAAACUGGCAAGCUAGAGUCUUGUAGAGGGGGGUAGAAUUCCAGGUGUAGCGGUGAAAUGCGUAGAGAUCUGGAGGAAUACCGGUGGCGAAGGCGGCCCCCUGGACAAAGACUG